AACGAACGCUGGCGGCAGGCUUAACACAUGCAAGUCGAACGCCCUAGUAAUAGGGAGUGGCAGACGGGUGAGUAACGCGUGGGAAUCUACCUAGUUCUACGGAACAACAGUUGGAAACGACUGCUAAUACCGUAUACGCCCUACGGGGGAAAGAUUUAUCGGAAUUAGAUGAGCCCGCGUAAGAUUAGCUAGUUGGUGGGGUAAUGGCCUACCAAGGCGACGAUCUUUAGCUGGUCUGAGAGGAUGAUCAGCCACACUGGGACUGAGACACGGCCCAGACUCCUACGGGAGGCAGCAGUGGGGAAUAUUGGACAAUGGGCGCAAGCCUGAUCCAGCCAUGCCGCGUGAGUGAUGAAGGCCUUAGGGUUGUAAAGCUCUUUCAGUGGGGAAGAUAAUGACGGUACCCACAGAAGAAGCCCCGGCUAACUUCGUGCCAGCAGCCGCGGUAAU
RNAcentral lists this ribosomal RNA (450 nucleotides) under uncultured bacterium. RNAcentral describes it as "bacterial SSU rRNA". It matches the Rfam family "Bacterial small subunit ribosomal RNA", at positions 29 to 524 of the family's 1533-position model. The record is from RNAcentral.